CCAAUAGCGUAUAUUAAAGUUGUUGCAGUUAAAAAGCUCGUAGUUGAAUUUCGGGAUCAGUAGGUUGGUCGUGCCAACGGUAUGCACUGGCCUCACUGGUUCCUCCUUCUUGUAGAACCGUAAUGCCAUUACGUUGGUGUUGCGGGGAAACAGGACUGUUACUUUGAAAAAAUUAGAGUGUUUAAAGCAGGCUAACGCUUGAAUACAUUAGCAUGGAAUAAUGAAAUAGGACGAACGAUCCUAUUUUGUUGGUUUCUAGGAUCGACGUAAUGAUUAAUAGGGAUAGUUGGGGGCAUUAGUAUUCAAUUGUCAGAGGUGAAAUUCUUGGAUUUAUUGAAGACUAACUACUGCGAAAGCAUUUGCCAAGGAUGUUUUCAUUAAUCAAGAACGAAAGUUAGGGGAUCGAAGACGAUCAGAUACCGUCGUAGUCUUAACCAUAAACUAUGCCGACUAGGGAUCGGAUGAUGUUAAUUUUAUAAUGACUCAUUCGGCGCCUUACG
RNAcentral lists this ribosomal RNA (500 nucleotides) under uncultured Glomeromycotina. RNAcentral's name for it is "partial small subunit ribosomal RNA". It matches the Rfam family "Eukaryotic small subunit ribosomal RNA", at positions 591 to 1092 of the family's 1831-position model. Lineage: Eukaryota; Fungi; Glomeromycota. The record is from RNAcentral.